AAGUCAGUUGCUGUCGAAGGAUCAAGUGGAUCUGAGCGUUCCCUGCAGCCUUGUAACUUCUUGUCGGGGACGAUUAGGGUUGCUGUCAGGUUCACAGAUGGUGAGAGAAUAACACCCAAGGACAGACACUGCAAACGAAGAGUAACUACUUCAUCGGUGACUAGUUAUGGUACAAGCCUUCAAUGUAUUUGUUGAGAAUAUUUUUAGUGCUUCAUGUUGCAUCGAUGGCAUUGGCUAUGCCACCGCCGAUGCCAGUGAGGCGUGUACUCAGGGGUAUAAAUAACGCAAGGCAACGGCUCCUGGGUAACAACAUUGACCGUGUGGGCUGGACAAGAGAGACAAGCUUUAUACCUCGGCCGCGCCCCUGUCAUGGUAUUUGCAAGAUACUCGCCAGCAGCGGCGACUGCAUCGACAACGUGGCUUGUAUCAUGUACAUGGCUUCUCGCAUGUCGCCGUACAUGGCAGAAUCCGUCCGCAGCGGCGGCUGCUUCACCGACGUGGCUUGUUCCUCGUACAUGGCUUCCCACAUGUCGCCGUCCAUGGCAGAAUCCGUCCGCAGCGGCGACUGCUUCAACGACGUGGCUUGUCUCUUGGUCUUGGAGUCUCACAUGUCGCAGUUCAUGCAAAGAAUUCGAUGGCAGCGGCGACUGCAUCGCCGACGUGGCUUGCCGCCGGCGUAGAUUCGUGAGUUUAUGUGACGUUCUGCCACAUUUAUGUGACAGGUAAUAAUUGACCAUCAGACAGUGGCAUAUUCAUUAUACAUAAAAUAUGGCGUUUACAUCGCCAGAAUUGCAUUAGUGAAAUAUUGAUAUGAAAACCAUUGUAUGUGUCAUGCUACAACCUGCUGCUUCAACUCUAUUCUUUCAGAAAUCAGUCAUAAUGGUUAACUAUUAAUUAUUAACUAUGGCUGGGUUAUUGACUCCUGAUGCACAGUUUUCGGUGAGCUUAAGCAAGAAGAAAGAAGGCAUGUAAAUUGACAGAAGGAUCUCAAAAUGUUCGACAAUGAGAGCGAAUAUUCUGACAAUAUUCUAAAAAUCUAAGUUCAUUUAUUGGGCUCAAAAAACUCCACAACUAAAUAAAUUUAAAAGAGUGUCUCUGGUACAUAAAAUUAUGUUUACAGUAAGUUUAUAUUAUAUGUAUAAUGAAAUUUCACCGAGGAUUCAUAAAAUUAGGCUCUAAACGAUUUUUUUUUAUUUCUCGCACUUAUGAACAAUGUUCUCGUGGUACUCGAUAACAUCAGACUUUUUGUAUCUCUACCCAUUUCUCGAAAUAUUUGUAUUAUCAUUUAAUUAUUACAACAUCACUUAGACUCAAGAGAUCAUAAUGAACUUCAGUAAAGGCUUGAUGCAAUUA
Long non-coding RNA from Hyalella azteca, 1353 nucleotides. RefSeq lists it as uncharacterized. The transcript has 2 exons. NCBI's taxonomy places the organism in Eukaryota, Metazoa, Arthropoda, Malacostraca, Amphipoda, Hyalellidae. The record is from RefSeq and is a predicted model, not a curated record.